AAAAAAGAAAUCUAUAAACUACGUGAAAUAAAUUUAAUAUAAUGAUCACGAAAUGAGAGGAAAAUUUCUGGAAUCCAAAUUUUCUUUCUUUAACGAUCCUUCUUCGAGAUGAUUAACAAUUGAUCAAUUAAACCGUUUAACUUAAAACAAUUAACAAACGAAAAAUUCAAUCGCGAUAAUUCUAAUUCCAAUUCGAAUUGGCCCAGGUUCCAUCAAUCUCGAGGGCAAUCUCGUCGUCAUUAAUAGAUCGAGCAAGGGAAAACGAAAACGAUCGAACAAAUCCGUGCAACGACACGAACAGCGUACACGAUCGAUUAGUUGAAGUUUGCGGAUACCGAUUACAGUUAAACACACGUCUUCCAUUCAAAAGAUUGCCAAAGGCGUUUCGUUUUACUACCAUUAGCGCCGUUCCCAUUGUACCACGUCGGAUGGCGUGACAGUGGCGGUGGCACACCUGCAAGUGGUUUUAUGAAUGGACACAGAGAGUUGAGGCAGAGUGUAAAUUUAUACGGGCGGACGGAUGGUCACGCGACACCGUGCGAUGUGACGCGAGCUGUUUUAUUGGCGUAUCGUCACGGCCCGAUGGAAUGCCUCGAUCUAUUAAUGAAUGAAUUUCUCUCUCUCCUUUUUUUUUAUGUUUCGCGCUUUCAACAAUUUUUCCAACGAAACGAUUAGACGCAAAUACUUGGUUAAAAGAAUAAUGUAAUUUUCUCGGAAUAAUAUUGAAAAUUGGAAAGCUUCUGUUUAUAUCUGAAAUAGAGGUAUGAAGAUGUAAAAAAAAAAGAAUGAUUUUUGUUGUAAAUUGUCGACACUGAAACAUAAUUUGAAUGAAUCUAGAUUCUACGAAAUACGAUUUCCAAACUUGAUUCAUAAAUAUGAUUAACAAUAUCGUUUUGAAUGAAGCGGAGAAACGAAGAAUGUGAUAUAUUAUAUAUACGGCCACGCGACGAGUCAGCAAAUAUAUUGAUUGUACUACUGCGUUUCACGUGCCGUUAUUAAUGAAAUCGUAAAAAGAGUUUACUCGAUUUAAACGAAUUUCAUCGAAAGAAACUUCAUCAUUUUUCGCAAAUCAAACGCGACGAAUAAGGUAUAACAAUAUUCAUUCCACGAAUCGAACAAAAAUCCGAAUGAGAAAUGACACGUGCUCACAGGACAAACAAUUUUGCGGUCUCGGAGCACGGAAUAGCAAAUCGCAAAAUCAAUCGCGAUUAUUGAUGGCACGAUAACUAGGCAAAGCCGCAAAACACGCCGAUUGAUGCUGUAAUAGUGGUGCUGUUGCGUUUAAAUGCGGCAAUGUUCUCUUUGCCAAGAAGAUAUAUUAUCAAACAAUGAUAUCUCGCAAUUGCCUUUUCAUUAGAAACGAAUUUGGAACGAAAAUCGAUUAAUAAAACACUGACCAUAUAUAUCUCGUUCGUAAUUUCUCAUAAGUUAAUUGUAUUGAAAUGAUACCAUGGAAUAUUUUUUCAAAAUUCUUCUUUGAAAAAAAUAAUAACGUACGAAUAAAAUAACAUUUAUACCACAUCUUGGAAAAGUGAUAAUAUUCAUAUUGAAGAAGAGGUUGGACAAGAGAGUGAAGAAUAUUCCUUAUAAAUAUGAGAGACAGUGGCCGUUCGAGGAACGUUUGAAAGGGGAAAAAUGAACGAAUUGUGGUCUCUCGGCGACGACUACGACAAUCCUCGUCACGCGGAGUUUACCACUGAUCUCGUUAAAACUUCAAGUCGACUGGAAGGUAACCACAAAAGUAAAUCCCAAAUCGGUCUCCGCCGCCGGGAAUGAACGCGAUAAAUUUUUCCCCGAAACUUGGGUCGAGAUUCUCACGGGGUUCGAUUCCCGUUGGAGCUUAGAGUUCUUUAAAUUUUUCAAAAUUCCACCGCCCCUUUUCGAACGAGAAAAAAGAAUCAACGGGAGAAAAAAGCGAUGAUCUCGAUGAUCUCACCUCCGUUGUAACUUGAAAUAACAAAGAGAGCAAAGUUUCUUUACCUGUUCGCGAACGAAUUGAUUUCUAAAAAUUCAUAUCUCGUGUAACGUAGAGAUAAGCAGAGUAUACGCGAUAUGUAACAAUGCAUCAAACCAAACAGAGGGCUGACGCGAAGAUAACACAGACAAACAGAUAGCGAGAGGAAGAAAAAUGGCGGCACGUCCUCGUAAUAUGGUCCCAGCGUCGAUGUUCAACAUGAUCAAUCGUCCACUCUUCUUCGAGCAGAGAACGUGAGCAAUAUCGCGACAAUGUUACCUUCUUGAAAUUGUAAUUUUUAUUAAGCUGGAUACGUCGUUCCUUAUUUUUUAAUCCCAAUGUCCACGCAUCUUCUUUUAAUACUUUAUCUUUCCACAGAAAUAAAAUCAUUGAUAAGAGGAACGAAACUACGAGACAUUUAAAAUUUAACAUGGGCAAACCAAAUUUCCAAAUCCUUCAUUUACAAAUAUAAUUCGUACAUGAAUUAUCGAAUUAUCUAUUCCCUAGUGCUCCCUAGUUUUCUGCCUAGUGAAAAAUCACUGAAUCCGAGCCGUAACCAGCAGAACAAAGGGGAAGAAAAGGAAAGAUCUACAUGAUUCAUGUUCACAUCGAAGAAUCUGAACCCUCGGGCACAUAAUAUUCGCAAACUUCGACGUCCAAUGGCGCUCUCCAGGUUAUCUAAAUGGCCUGAGAGGAGAUACGCGGUUAUCUACACGAUUCGGAUUAUCAUAGUUUCAACAGGAAAGAAUUCGGCUCUGUCUUAAUCUACAUCACAGUAAAUUAAUACUGUACUCAUAGCUGAAAGAAAACUCAAUUGAACCGAGGCUGAAUUUGACGCACUUUCAAAAUAGCCCAUUGCGACAUUGGGGCUUAAAGGGUUAACCAUCUUUGCAAAGAAAGCUGGGCGGCGGUUUUCCGGGAAACAGAAUCGGUGCAACGUCCCGGAAAAUGUGUUUUAUCGAUUGCAUGGCCUACCGACCAAGGACCGACCGGUGAACCUAAAUUACAGGUUGCGUGACAGUGAUAUAGCCACCGACACAGGAAGCAACAGUAGUUGCUCGAAGACAGGAGGAACGUGAUUUGGUGCUCGAAUGCGGAACGCGUUUUCCUUCCUUGGAAGGAAAUGGAGGGGGAGAGGAGGGAGAAGGAAAGAAAAAUAAGUAUGGAAACGCGAGGAAAGAGAUAAGAGAAGCGGCUUCUUGGUUGCGGCACCCGGUCUACUCGAUGAAAUCGAUUUGAUUCUAUUUUCCCGCGGCGCGUGAUUUUUCUUACCUCGUCGGAUGUGAGCUUUGUCGUAUUUCACGCGACUUCUCGUUUCCGGUAUCGAGAGUGUAAAGGGAAAAGGGCGAAAUAAAAGGUUCACGGUGUAAAGGAGGAUUUUCGCGCUUUGUUCGUGGGCCAAAGUCGCGUGGCUGGAUUAGAAUGGGAUCGAGAAUCGAUGGAGAAUAGGAUUUGUAAGAAUUUCGAUUAUUUUUUAAAGAUGUAUGUAUGUACUCGAUUUCUCGACAAAUCUAAGAGCACGAUACAGUGGAUAAAAUUUACGAUAUUGAGAAACUUAAAACGUAGUUUGCUGAAUAACUUUUUUCUUUCAGAAUUCUUUUUGAACGAUGCAAAUAACAAAUUUGAGAAAUAUACAAGUAUUAAAUUUUAAACAUUGUAAUACAAUUUAUAUAUUAUGGAUAAUUCUUAUACUAUUAAAUCCUGCGUUCACGAAGCGUAAAAAGAAACAGGAAAAACCAAACACCAAGCAAAAUUACGUCGUGAAUUGUUUAUAAAUCUACAUAAAUAAACGAAAAGCUAUCGGAUAACGAGCGAUCCCAACCGAUUACAUUUUUAAUAACUCCAUAUCCCGGACGUAGUCGUACAUAUCAUUUUCGCUCCCUGAAUUAUUCUCUCUCCGAUUUUCCGAUCGAUAUUUAAUUCUCGCUUAAAAAAAAGGAGAACAGUAAUCGAAAUCUUUCCCAUUCUCAGAAAAGGAAGAGGAGAACGAGGCGAAUGAAAAAAAGGAAGGAAGAAAUGUUUGUAUUUUUGGCAUACGUGAUCCACCGCCAUAUGGCGGCCCUCGUUCAACCUUCACCGCCUCGUUUCGAAUUCCCGCUGGCUCCUUCCAUUCUUGCCAGCCGACUCGGAAAAAGGCACGGGUAAUGGACAAGAUUCGGGGGCGGAAUAAGGCGAUCACUAUGCAUUCGACGCCCGUAUACCGUGGCCAGGGCCGUAUAUACGCCAAUAAAAGGAUCCUCCCCCUCCCGAUCCGCGAGAUUUCUCUUUAUUUCGGCAUCAGCGGCAUCACCCGAUCCUCGCUCGGCCGAGCAAUCGUGGCCCUGAUUUCGAGAACCGGGCGCAGAUGCCGCGCCUCGUUUCUGACGGCUUCGAAAACGAAACUGGUUCCUUCGAUAUCUCGAUACGGCACGUGGCCCCUUCUGCAACCGGCUCCAGGGGAUGGUCGUCUUUUAUAUAUCCGGUAAAUAACGAGACUGGCUAAUGUAAUUUUAAAGAAACCGUGGCUUAGUCUCGGAUUAAAACGAGCAUACAAACGUUUCGAGAUGUAUUUCUGUAGAGAAUGAUAUUAUUCUGAUCAAACAAGCGUUCUCGAGUAGGAAAAAUGAAUUUACGAAUAUCAAUACACGUCUAUCAAUUUCGUUAAACAACCACCAUGCCACGAAACCAUGCGUUUUAAUAUAAUUCCAUCAGGGAAUGAAGCAAACUAUAUGUCGUUUUAUACCGUGCACGCAAUUUAAACUUUGCCUCGCUUUGUAGCCGAAUGAAAAGGUUCUAAUUCGAUAGAUAGAUUCAUUAAAGGAAGGCGCGUAGUUUUAGCUUCCCUUGAAAUAAUUUUCACCGAAGAAAGGUCUUCUAAUUUCAACCCAAUCUCUCCGAGAUACGAGGCGAGGUAACGACAGAAACUCAUUAGGAGCGAUAUGCGGUCCGGUUUGCGGGGAUGAGUUCAGAUAUAUUCGGCCAGGUAUCGCGCGCGGGGUCGCGGGGUAAUCGUUGGCUCCGUUAAUUCAAGUUAGUCGGGUGUAAGGACCAGUCAGCUGGCUGUGAAAACGCAUUAAGUUCGAGUCGGCGAAUCCAUUUUCCGCGCGUCGGUUUCCGCCACGCCGCGGUAAGCCGCAACACCGGCCGGCUAAACUGACCGAACGUUGGCGGGAAAUAAACGUGGCACGCUGCAUAAUACUGUAAAUAAUACAAGGGUGGAUUUUCCAAACGAUCGAUCCCAUUUCGCCCAGUGAAGUUUCAAUCUCGAUAUUAUUAUUAUUAUUAUUUUUCCGACUCGAAGGAAACACGAUUCUUCUUGAUUUCGGGUGGAUGUUAUAUCUAUCGAGGAACUUCUUAUUGCAAGAGGUGAAUGGAUAUUCUCUAAGGAAGAAUAGAAACAUAAGAUCCUACUUGAUUUUUAAAGCUAAAAGUUUAAAUCAUUGAAGAAUUCGAAAGUUAUUGCACGAGAUAACAAUACUUCUACGAUAUAGUAGAAAAAUUAAUUAAA
Molecule: long non-coding RNA, 5441 nt
Filed under: Apis mellifera (honey bee)
Lineage: Eukaryota; Metazoa; Arthropoda; Insecta; Hymenoptera; Apidae
Description: uncharacterized LOC113218749, transcript variant X2
Source: RNAcentral